GCAAGUCGAACGGUAGCAGGAAGUGCUUGCACUUCGCUGACGAGUGGCGGACGGGUGAGUAAUACUUAGGGAUCUGCCCUUUGGUGGGGGAUAACCAUUGGAAACGAUGGCUAAUACCGCAUAUUGCCUACGGGCAAAAGGGGGGUGUUCUUUUAUUAGAGCUACCUCUCGCCAGAGGAGGAACCUAAGCGAGAUUAGCUAGUUGGUGAGGUAAAGGCUCACCAAGGCGACGAUCUCUAGCUGUUCUGAGAGGAAGAUC
This 259-nucleotide ribosomal RNA is filed under the name uncultured bacterium. Its description in RNAcentral is "partial 16S ribosomal RNA". It matches the Rfam family "Bacterial small subunit ribosomal RNA", at positions 57 to 305 of the family's 1533-position model. The record is from RNAcentral.